Molecule: unclassified non-coding RNA, 145 nt
Filed under: soil metagenome
Description: partial internal transcribed spacer 1
Source: RNAcentral
UAAUAAGUGUUUUAUGGCACUUUUUAAAUCCAUAUCCACCUUGUGUGCAAUGUCAGUCGAUCUUCUUCAUGGAGAUCGACCAAACAUCAACCUUUAUCUUUUAACUCUUUGUCUGAAAAACAUUAUGAAUAAACAAUUCAAAAUA